UACGUAUGGUUCAGGCGUUAUUCGGAUUUACUGGGUGUAAAGGGAGCGUAGACGGCAUAGCAAGUCUGAAGUGAAAUGCGGGGGCUCAACCCCUGAACAGCUUUGGAAACUGUUAGGCUGGAGUGUCGGAGAGGUUAGUGGAGUUCCUAGUGUAGCGGUGAAAUGCGUAGAUAUUAGGAGGAACACCGGUGGCGAAGGCGGCUAACUGGUCGAUAACUGACGUUGAGGCUCGAAAGCGUGGGGAGCAAAC
This 250-nucleotide ribosomal RNA is filed under the name uncultured prokaryote. RNAcentral's name for it is "partial 16S ribosomal RNA". It matches the Rfam family "Bacterial small subunit ribosomal RNA", at positions 524 to 773 of the family's 1533-position model. The record is from RNAcentral.